Molecule: ribosomal RNA, 492 nt
Filed under: Streptococcaceae bacterium 'ARUP UnID 621'
Lineage: Bacteria; Bacillati; Bacillota; Bacilli; Lactobacillales; Streptococcaceae
Description: bacterial SSU rRNA
Rfam family: Bacterial small subunit ribosomal RNA
Source: RNAcentral
UGAACGCUGGCGGCGUGCCUAAUACAUGCAAGUAGAACGCUGAAGCUUGGUGCUUGCACCGAGCGGAUGAGUUGCGAACGGGUGAGUAACGCGUAGGUAACCUGCCUGGUAGCGGGGGAUAACUAUUGGAAACGAUAGCUAAUACCGCAUGACAACAGUUAUUGCAUGAUAACUGUUUAAAAGGGGCAACUGCUCCACUACCAGAUGGACCUGCGUUGUAUUAGCUAGUUGGUGAGGUAACGGCUCACCAAGGCGACGAUACAUAGCCGACCUGAGAGGGUGAUCGGCCACACUGGGACUGAGACACGGCCCAGACUCCUACGGGAGGCAGCAGUAGGGAAUCUUCGGCAAUGGACGGAAGUCUGACCGAGCAACGCCGCGUGAGUGAAGAAGGUUUUCGGAUCGUAAAGCUCUGUUGUAAGAGAAGAACGAGUGUGAGAGUGGAAAGUUCACACUGUGACGGUAUCUUACCAGAAAGGGACGGCUAACUAC